CCUACGGGCGGCAGCAGUGGGGAAUAUUGGACAAUGGGCGAAAGCCUGAUCCAGCCAUGCCGCGUGUGUGAAGAAGGCCUUCGGGUUGUAAAGCACUUUCAGUGGGGAAGAAAGCCUUGGGGCUAAUACCCUCGAGGAAGGACAUCACCCACAGAAGAAGCACCGGCUAACUCCGUGCCAGCAGCCGCGGUAAUACGGAGGGUGCGAGCGUUAAUCGGAAUUACUGGGCGUAAAGCGCGCGUAGGCGGUCUGAUAAGCCGGUUGUGAAAGCCCCGGGCUCAACCUGGGAACGGCAUCCGGAACUGUCAGGCUAGAGUGCAGGAGAGGAAGGUAGAAUUCCCGGUGUAGCGGUGAAAUGCGUAGAGAUCGGGAGGAAUACCAGUGGCGAAGGCGGCCUUCUGGACUGACACUGACGCUGAGGUGCGAAAGCGUGGGUAGCAAACAGGAUUAGCUACCCUAGUAGUC
Molecule: ribosomal RNA, 465 nt
Filed under: Vreelandella stevensii
Lineage: Bacteria; Pseudomonadati; Pseudomonadota; Gammaproteobacteria; Oceanospirillales; Halomonadaceae
Description: partial 16S ribosomal RNA
Rfam family: Bacterial small subunit ribosomal RNA
Source: RNAcentral